This 537-nucleotide ribosomal RNA is filed under the name Triticum aestivum (bread wheat). Its description in RNAcentral is "partial small subunit ribosomal RNA". Lineage: Eukaryota; Viridiplantae; Streptophyta; Magnoliopsida; Poales; Poaceae. The record is from RNAcentral.
AUGAAUAACAACAAUUGCGCCAUCAUGUCGUGGAACGUCAGAGGUUUAAACUCUGCGGCGAAGAGGGAAGCCAUUAGAGAGGUAGCAGCCGCGCAUAGAUUAGCAAUUCUCUGUGUCCAGGAAACAAAAAUAGAAACUUGGGAUCAAACUUUAGUCCGCGAUGUGGGAGGUAGUUGGCUAGGCGACUGUGUAGUUCUUCCGGCGAUCGCUACCAGAGGAGGCGUCGCGAUCUUCUGGAACAGCAAGCUGGUCUGUUCCUAGGCGAUCGGGCAAUUCUCCAUCACGGCAAAAGAUACUGUAGUCAGCUCCUCCUCUAGUUUUGUUCUCACUACGGUGUAUGGCCCUUCCGAUGGCACAAAUAAAGAAGACUUCAUCAACGAAUUAGUUAGCGCCGCUCCAGGCACACCAUGGCUGAUAUAUGGUGAUUUCAAUGUGAUAUACGAGGCUAGGGACAAGAACAACGUCAAUCUCAAUAGGAGAUUGAUGAGUAGAUAUAGAACGGCGAUUGACGCGGUGGCACUGAGAGAAAUCAAAUGC